Molecule: long non-coding RNA, 1194 nt
Organism: Zea mays
Lineage: Eukaryota; Viridiplantae; Streptophyta; Magnoliopsida; Poales; Poaceae
Exons: 5
Source: RefSeq, a predicted model, not a curated record
CCGCGCGUCCCUGGCUUCUCUCCCAGCCGCAGCCGCCGCCGCCGCCUCUCUCUCCCUUCCCUCUUCUCUCUGCCCUCACCUCUCUCCCCCUUCCAUCACCUCGCUAGUAACAGGUCACCGUGUGUGUGCGCGCCAUGGGGAUUCAUCUGCCGCCGCCUGCCCUCGCCUUCUGCCUCUCGGCGCCCACUCGGUUCUAGUGGCCGCUUCGAGGAGGCGCUCGCGCGCAUCGAGGAGCUCCAGGAGCGCGACACUGGCGCCGACGAUAGCAGCACAGCCUCGUCGUUCUUGAGCGACGGAGAGGCGGCGUCGCGGCCAGCAGGCGAGCAGCAGUCGCACUCCGCAGAUUUCUUGAGCGACGGAGAGGCGGCGUCCGGUGGCAUUCAGAGACGUGCGUGACGGUCGGAGGUCGUCGAGCGCGUGUAAGCUUGUUGACCAUUUUCAGCAUGUGUAAAUUGGCGGUUAGAUUUCGUUCAAGAAAUAGCAUCCAAGACAAAUAGCGUUGUUCGCGAUCUGAGGCAGCUGGUAGGCAGUCUGGGCUUGGGCGCACGCGAGCCAGAGAGGGAGGGCUGGGAGCACGUCAUCUCCAAGAGCAGCGACGACGUCUCCUACAAGGCCUGGUGCGACAAGCCCACGGUAGUUGCCAAUUGCGUACAUGCAUUGCAACAGAUCUGGGCUCUAGAAGCUGCUAACUUGGUAGCAGAAAGAUUGAGGCAUUGCAUAGCAAACCACUGGAUCAAAGAGUUUAGUGAAUGGCCACAGUGCAUGUUCUUGAGUUGCAAUCAAAGUUCCUUCCAUAUAAUAAUAACAAAAUAUUUGACAUAAUGAAUCUGUUGGAGGAUAGACUUCAACAUGCAAAUGGAGUCGUUGUUUUGGCAACAAUUAAAGUUUUUCUCCAUUCCCAUGACUGUUGUUCAUCAACAGCAAGAGAAGAAGGAAGACAAGUCAGACAAAACAGAAGACGAGAAGAACUGAUGUAGCCAUGUUCAUGCUUCCACUGUUGAAAUGCAUAUUCAACAUAGCUUGCUCAGCUCCUAUCUGUUGUUUCAACGUUGAUUUAAAAGAAGAGCUGGUAGUUGUGGGCUUUCGAACAAUAGCUGGAAUGAUCUAGCUAGCUAUAUGUAAAUGAUCUAGUUGUGAAUGAUAUUAUAACUGUGAUGCUUUUGUGAAUAUAUAAUUGUGGUGCUUUUGUGUUUG